AUCCAGCUGACGAGUCCCAAAUGGGACGAAACUAGCGUCAAACUGGAU
This is a non-coding RNA of Schistosoma mansoni, 48 nucleotides long. The record is from Rfam. NCBI's taxonomy places the organism in Eukaryota, Metazoa, Platyhelminthes, Trematoda, Strigeidida, Schistosomatidae.